Elgaria multicarinata webbii is the source of this 289-nucleotide long non-coding RNA. RefSeq lists it as uncharacterized. The record is from RefSeq and is a predicted model, not a curated record. NCBI's taxonomy places the organism in Eukaryota, Metazoa, Chordata, Lepidosauria, Squamata, Anguidae. The transcript is spliced from 2 exons.
CCCAUAUCUCUCCACAGGCAACUAGGAAGACCUCCAGCGUAUGCAGAAGCAAGUAUCGUUCCCACCUUCCAGUGUCAGGGAGACCACAAGCAAAGUCCUACAACAGCAGCAAUGACCAAAUUAUCAUGAUGGGGAAAGCUGGGCUUGUUGCUCCUGUGUCUGUCAUGCAGCUUUCAAAGGCACAGUGUCCCUGCAAAAACAAAAGGUUGGCUAUCCUUUUCCUCUACGUUUACGACACUGUCAGAACUUACUCCAUAAAUGAUGCUGUUCAAUAAAAAAUAUGACUCAA